RNAcentral lists this transfer RNA (71 nucleotides) under Verdigellas peltata. RNAcentral describes it as "tRNA-Cys". It matches the Rfam family "tRNA". From Rfam's summary of the family: Transfer RNA (tRNA) molecules are approximately 80 nucleotides in length. Their secondary structure includes four short double-helical elements and three loops (D, anti-codon, and T loops). Further hydrogen bonds mediate the characteristic L-shaped molecular structure. tRNAs have two regions of fundamental functional importance: the anti-codon, which is responsible for specific mRNA codon recognition, and the 3' end, to which the tRNAs corresponding amino acid is attached (by aminoacyl-tRNA synthetases). tRNAs cope with the degeneracy of the genetic code in two manners: having more than one tRNA (with a specific anti-codon) for a particular amino acid; and 'wobble' base-pairing, i.e. permitting non-standard base-pairing at the 3rd anti-codon position. RNAcentral also lists the same sequence under 1 other name. The record is from RNAcentral. Lineage: Eukaryota; Viridiplantae; Prasinodermophyta; Palmophyllophyceae; Palmophyllales; Palmophyllaceae.
GGUGGUAUAGCCAAGUGGUAAGGCCGAGGUUUGCAAAACCUUUAUCCCCAGUUCAAAUCUGGGUACCGCCU